GGGGGGAAAUUGGAAAUGGGCGCAGCCUGAUCAUCCUGCCGCGUGUGUGAUGAAGGCCUUCGGGUUGUAAAGCUCUUUUACCAGGGAAGAAAAGGACCGUACUAGUAGAAGAUUCUCCGGACAAUUCCGUGCGAACAGCCGCCGGCAUACUCGUGCCGGCGGCCGCGAUAAUA
This 173-nucleotide ribosomal RNA is filed under the name uncultured bacterium. Its description in RNAcentral is "partial 16S ribosomal RNA". It matches the Rfam family "Bacterial small subunit ribosomal RNA", at positions 354 to 525 of the family's 1533-position model. The record is from RNAcentral.